UAGGGAAUAUUGCACAAUGGGCGAAAGCCUGAUGCAGCAACGCCGCGUGUGCGAAGAAGGCCUUCGGGUCGUAAAGCACUUUUCUGAGAGAUGAGAAAGGACAGUAUCUCAGGAAUAAGUCUCGGCUAACUACGUGCCAGCAGCCGCGGUAAAACGUAGGAGGCAAGCGUUAUCCGGAUUCACUGGGCGUAAAGCGCGUGCAGGCGGUUCGGUAAGUUGGGCGUGAAAUCUCUUGGCUUAACUAAGAGAGGCCGUUCAAUACUACCGGGCUAGAGAGCAGUAGAGGAAGAUGGAAUUCCCGGUGUAGUGGUGAAAUGCGUAGAUAUCGGGAGGAACACCAGUGGCGAAAGCGAUCUUCUGGACUGUUUCUGACGCUCAGACGCGAAAGCUAGGGUAGUAACGGGAUUAGAGACCCCGGUAAUCCGUAGCCGUAAACGAUGUAAACUUGGCGUCGGUGGCUUAAACUCUGCCGGUGCCGCAG
Molecule: ribosomal RNA, 481 nt
Filed under: uncultured Chloroflexota bacterium
Lineage: Bacteria; Bacillati; Chloroflexota
Description: bacterial SSU rRNA
Rfam family: Bacterial small subunit ribosomal RNA
Source: RNAcentral